GCGCCACAGGGGUCUCCAGGGCCCUCGCAGGUUGGGGUGGUCUGAGCUAGUCUGAAGGAGGACAGUCAGCUGACUUCUCCUUUAUCUCUCUUUCCCAGGAUAGCAGGUUCCCUUGGUGUAUUACAGUUUCUGAAGUGUUGAUUCCCUUUUCAAUUGAUUCCACAGAUGACAGUCCUGACGUUUAAAAAAUUGCCAGAUAACCUUUAAUUUUUUUUUUUUUAACAGAACACAAACUUAAGCCAGAUUGCCUAGGAUUGAACCUUGGCCUCUCACUUCCUAGACGAGUGGCCUUGGCUAGUUAACCACCUUCGUGAGCCUCAGUUUUGUCAUCUGUAAAAUGGGAGUCAUAAGUGUCUACCUCACAGAGCUGUGAUUGAAAGGAUAAAUAGCACCUUGCACAUAGCGGUGUAGAAGUGCUUGUUAUUGUUAAUAUUUUAUUUACCUUCACGCAGGUAACAGCCACAACAUCUGCCCACUCUUCCCCACACCUUACUGUCCCUUGAAAUGUUUCCCAUUUUACUAUAGUAUGCAUUUUUUGGCUUCUUCCCUUUAGGGAAAUGAGUAUGUGAUAGUAAAGCGUGUCUUGGUUUAUGUCCUAGGAGUCAGAAGCUAAGAGACUCCUUUUUGUGCUUGUACAUUUGUCUUAACUGAAAAUAACCCAAGGAUAAGGAAACAAAUAGCUUCCUGAAAUUACUCGGAUUGCGGGGGUGAGGGGUGAGGGCUGGGGGGUGGUGAUUCUGUCUUCAUAGGAUGGCAGCAAAGGCCAAAGUCUUAUUUGAGUUAUUACCAUUAUUAUUCACCACACUUGCCAUCUUAUUUCAAGCCUACAGUGGCGGAAGUGGAGUAAGACAUCAUGUUGCCUCAAGUUUAAUUGGAAAUCGCGUGCCUUGUGAAGAAUGGACACUCAGUAGAUGCUUAUUGAUGAACCUGUUGGUUGAGGAUAACUCGCUAACUUUUCUGAGCUUUGUUGGAAAAACUCAGGUCACUGUAUCUCUAUGCAUUACAGAAAAUGGCUAGUUAAAAACUUGUCAAGAUUAUGAAUGAGUGCAUCCAAAAGUAAUCACUGGAAUUGCUGUUCAUUGUGGGCUUCCCAGCAUUCUCCUCUGGGCAUUUAUAUCAAAUAACUUAUGAGUGAUGCAGAAUUAGUAUUCACCGGUCAGACAUUGAUUAUUUAGAAUUCCCUCUGAUUUGAAUUACAUCUACUGUUUUUUUCUCCCAUCCAUUUAUGGGUCAAAUGUACAAUAAGCCAAAACAUGUUGAUUCUGGUGAAAUUUAGCAGAGAAAAACAGCUUCACCUAGUGGCCACAGAAACUCGAAAAGCUUUACUGAAAAGAAAUAAAUUGGAUAUCUUCUCAUCCUGGAUAUGAACUGGAUUCCAACUUAACCUUCCAACUGUUUUGCUGUUUCUCUGAAGUCUGAACCUUGUGUAUGGCAAUACUUAUCUCAAGCAAAAAUAUAGUUUCACAUUGGUAGUACUGUAUUCAGGAAAACUGGAAAUUGUACUAUGAAGGAGCACUUCUACCACAUCCGUAUCUAAGUCUACAUUCACAGCUGCUGGAAACAGAUAUUGUAUUCAUACUAUGGUGGGAAACACAUAAUGUAUGUAUGUAUACACAUGUGUGCACACAUAUAUAUGCUAGCGUAUAAUCUGGAAAAAUUUUGCUAAGAUAUAUAGGAAGAGAACCUUUUUAUUCAGAAUAUUGAACAAGUAGGACUCAUAGUGUAAAAUUAAGAAAAAUUAUUUUUCUUCUACUGCCCUUUCUAUGGAUUUGGUUCUUCCUCUUCCCCUGAAUGUAAACUUAAGCAGUCUUCUAUGCAUUUUGUGUUCAUUCCUAAAUAUUAGAAAUAGUUAUUUGAUUAUUUAGCCUUUAGUCUCAGUUUAAUAACCAAAAUAUGAGGUUAAAAUUUAAUUCUGGCUACAGAAUUAAGGCUUCUCUCUCCUGCCGCACUUCCAGGCCAGUUGCAGGCAUGAUACCAGCAGUCUGGGAGGUAGAGACAAGAGGACACAUCUCUGCUGCUCCCUUCUUUCCCCAUGGUUAUGCGCCAACUUUGGUUUCACCAGGCCUACAGUGCUUCCCAGGUUUGGAGUGUGGGGAAGGAGAAGAUUUAAUGGAAGCAGCUUAAGGGAAAUGCUCAAACUAAACUGAUACUUUCUUCAUGAUCUAGCAUUGAAACUUUCUGGACUUGACAGAUAUUUAAAAUUAACUCUUUUUCUCAUUAACAUUUUCAUGGGUUCUUCCAAGAUCCACAUUACCCAACCUGUGGGUUCCCAUGACAAGGAUUAAGGCAUCUCUGUUUCUUCUGGACCUUUAUUUACCUGGAUUCUUUCUCUAGGGACUGUUUACCCUUAUGGGCCAUCCUUUUGAGCAUAACCUAACAAGAUUCAUGCUGGCUUUAAGUGAGUGGUCCACAUUUGGUUCAUGGGAAAACCACAUAGUUUGUCCCCAGCAAACCUGGAAGUAAUAUUUAUUUUACUGCUGGAAUUAAGGAAAACCAAAAAUCCUAUUACAAAAUGGCUCCUCUAAACAUUCACAUUACCCCUUUUUGUCUCUACCCCCUGAGGAACUAACCAACUCUAGCUCUUUGGAUUUUCCAAAUGAGAGGUCAACACAUCGAUGUCUCCAAGACCUUAAGUUCUUCUAGUGGUCUCUUUAAGCUUCCUCCCUUGAAUUAUGGUGAAAAGGGACUGCCUGCUACCCCCUCCUCUUGAGGAGAGGGGUGGUAUCACAGCCUAACAAUAAUUUCCAAAAAUUUUCUCCUCCAGCUCUAAUGCUUAACCAGUUUAGACUUUCAAAGUGGAUAAUGUAAUUUAAAGCCUUACAGCUAGUUAUGCUCUACUUCUUCUAUAAGUCCUGCAACCAGGUGGUCUCAAUCCUCACUUGCGAAUACUGCAUUUACUCACCUUGUGCCCUAGCCAAAACUUCCACAACAAAUUCUGUGGUGCAUUUAAGUGAAAGAUGUUAUUUGAUUGAUAGAGAGAUAGAUAGAUAGAUACAGAUAUAGAUAUAGAUAUGUAUUAGAACCAUGUCAAAUGGUUAACUUUUUUAAAAAGGUAAAUUUUUUAUAUUGAGAUAAUUAUAGAUUCUCAUACACUCGUAAGAAAUAACACAGAAAGAUCCCAUGUAGCCUUUAUCCAGUUUCCCCAGUGAUAAUAUCUUGCAAAACUAUAGUCCAAUAUCACAACCAAGAUACUGGCAUUGAUAGAUCACUUCCAUCACCACAAACAUCCCUCAUGUUGCCCUUUUAUAGCCACACUCAUUUCCCUCCUGCUGCCACCCUCUCCUUUACCCAUAACCACUUAUCUGUUCUCUAUUUUUGUAAUUUUAUCAUUUCAAGAAUACUGUAGAAAUGGAAUAAUACAGUAUGUAUUUUAGGGCUUAUCUUUUCUACACUCGGCAUGAUUCUCUGGAG
RNAcentral lists this long non-coding RNA (3411 nucleotides) under Homo sapiens (human). Its description in RNAcentral is "METTL14 divergent transcript". The record is from RNAcentral. Lineage: Eukaryota; Metazoa; Chordata; Mammalia; Primates; Hominidae.